UACAGGGGUCCCAAGCGUUGUUCGGAUUCAUUGGGCGUAAAGGGUGCGUAGGCGGCGCCGUAAGUCGGGUGUGAAAUUUCGGAGCUUAACUCCGCAACUGCAUUCGAUACUGCGGUGCUUGAGGACUGGAGAGGAGACUGGAAUUCAUGGUGUAGCGGUGAAAUGCGUAGAGAUGAUGAGGAAGACCAGUGGCGAAGGCGGGUCUCUGGACAGUUACUGACGCUGAGGCACGAAAGCGAGGGGAGCAAACGGG
This 253-nucleotide ribosomal RNA is filed under the name uncultured bacterium. Its description in RNAcentral is "partial 16S ribosomal RNA". It matches the Rfam family "Bacterial small subunit ribosomal RNA", at positions 524 to 776 of the family's 1533-position model. The record is from RNAcentral.